This 1344-nucleotide ribosomal RNA is filed under the name Niallia circulans. RNAcentral describes it as "bacterial SSU rRNA". It matches the Rfam family "Bacterial small subunit ribosomal RNA", at positions 115 to 1431 of the family's 1533-position model. The record is from RNAcentral. Lineage: Bacteria; Bacillati; Bacillota; Bacilli; Caryophanales; Bacillaceae.
ACGUGGGCAACCUGCCUGUAAGACUGGGAUAACUUCGGGAAACCGGAGCUAAUACCGGAUAAUCCUUUCCACCACAUGGUGGAAAGCUGAAAGACGGCAUCUCGCUGUCACUUACAGAUGGGCCCGCGGCGCAUUAGCUAGUUGGUGAGGUAACGGCUCACCAAGGCAACGAUGCGUAGCCGACCUGAGAGGGUGAUCGGCCACACUGGGACUGAGACACGCCCCAGACUCCUACGGGAGGCAGCAGUAGGGAAUCUUCCGCAAUGGACGAAAGUUUGACGAAGAAACCCCGCGGGGAGUGAUGAAGGUUUUCGGAUCGUAAAGCUCUGUUGUUAGGGAAGAACAAGUACAAGAGUAACUGCUUGUACCUGGACGGUACCUAACCAGAAAGCCACGGCUAACUACGUGCCAGCAGCCGCGGUAAUACGUAGGUGGCAAGCGUUGUCCGAAAUUAUUGGGCGUAAAAGCGCGCGCAGGCGGGGCUUUAAGUCUUUGAUGUGAAAGCCCCACGGCUCACACCGUGGAGGSUCAUUGGAAACUGGGGGACUUGAGUGCAGAAGAGAAGAGUGGAAUUCCGCGUGUAGCGUGGAAAUGCGUAGAGAUGUGGAGGAACACCAGUGGCGAAGGCGACUCUUUUGUCUGUAACUGACGCUGAGCGCGUAAAGCGUGGGGGAGCAAACCAGGAUUAGAUACCCUUGUAGUCCCACGCCGUAAACGAUGAGUUCUAAGUGUUAGGAGGGUUUCCGCCCUUUUAGUCGCUGCAGCAAACGCAGUAAGCACUUCCGCCUGGGGAGUCCGGCCCCAAGGCUGGAACUCAAAAAGAAUUUAUCGGGGGCCCGCACAAGGCGCGUGCAUUUUKUUUAAUUCGAARCAACGCGGAGARUCUUACCAGGUUUUGACAUUCUUUGACACUUCUAGCAAUAAGAUCGUUUCCCCUCGGGGGACAGAAUGACAGGUGGUGCAGUGUUGUCUUCCGCCCGUGUCGUGAGAUUUUGGGUUAAAUCCGCCAACGAGGCCAACCCUUGAUUUUAGUUUCCCACCUUAAAUUGGGCCCUUUAAGGUGGCUGCCGGUGACAAACCGGAGGAAGGGGGGGGUGGCCUCAAAACCUCAUGCCCCUUUUGGCCUGGGCCACACCCCUGGCACAAAGGGUGGUACAAAGGGCAACAAAACCGCGGGGGGGGGCAAAUCCCAUAAAACCAUUCCCAGUUCGGGUUGUGGGGUGCCACUUCCCUUCCUGGAGCCGGAAUCCCUUGUAAUUGCGGGAUCACAUUCCGCGGGGAAAUCGUUCCCGGGCCUUGUUCACACCCCCCCUCCCCUCCCGAGAGUGUUCUCCCGAAACUGUA